Molecule: ribosomal RNA, 465 nt
Filed under: uncultured Granulicatella sp.
Lineage: Bacteria; Bacillati; Bacillota; Bacilli; Lactobacillales; Carnobacteriaceae
Description: bacterial SSU rRNA
Rfam family: Bacterial small subunit ribosomal RNA
Source: RNAcentral
CCUACGGGAGGCUGCAGUAGGGAAUCUUCCGCAAUGGACGCAAGUCUGACGGAGCAACGCCGCGUGAGUGAAGAAGGAUUUCGGUUCGUAAAACUCUGUUGUUAGAGAAGAACAGCGCAUAGAGUAACUGUUAUGCGUGUGACGGUAUCUAACCAGAAAGCCACGGCUAACUACGUGCCAGCAGCCGCGGUAAUACGUAGGGGGCAAGCGUUGUCCGGAUUUAUUGGGCGUAAAGCGAGCGCAGGCGGUCAAUUAAGUCUGAUGUGAAAGCCCCCGGCUCAACCGGGGAGGGUAAUUGGAAACUGGUUGACUUGAGUGCAGAAGAGGAGAGUGGAAUUCCAUGUGUAGCGGUGAAAUGCGUAGAUAUAUGGAGGAACACCAGUGGCGAAGGCGACUCUCUGGUCUGUAACUGACGCUGAGGCUCGAAAGCGUGGGUAGCAAACAGGAUUAGAUACCCGAGUAGUC